AAGCGGAGGAAAAGAAACUAACAAGGAUUCCCCUAGUAACGGCGAGUGAAGCGGGAACAGCUCAAAUUUUAAAUCUGGCUGCUUCGCAGUCCGAGUUGUAAUUUGAAGGCGUCUGUCGCAUGUGAGACGAUGGCACAAGUCCUCUGGAACGUGGCAUCGUAGAGGGUGAGAAUCCCGUCUCUGGUCGUUGUCUUGCAGGCACACGGCAGGCGAUCCGAAGAGUCGAGUUGUUUGGGAUUGCAGCUCCAAAUGGGUGGUAAACUCCAUCUAAGGCUAAAUAUUGGCGAGAGACCGAUAGCGAACAAGUACCGUGAGGGAAAGAUGAAAAGAACUUUGAAAAGAGAGUAAAACAGUACGUGAAAUUGUUGAAAGGGAAACGCUUGAAGUCAGUCGUGCCGGCGGGGAUUCAGCGAACUUCGCGGAGUGAGCGUAUUUCCUCGCAUGGCAGGUCAGCGUCAGUUUUGCGCGUCGUGAAAGGGCUCGGGUAAGGUGACUCUCUUCGGGGAGUGUUAUAGGCCUGAGCAGAUGCGAUGCGCGGGACUGAGGAUUGCAGCGGACACCCUUCGGGGCGCGGCGACCGAUCCCUGCUCUGUCACCUUCGUCCGAUAGCGUGCUAACGGUCGGGGGAGCGGCGGUUGCACCGGGUUGGCAAGCCGGCGGCUUCGCUAAGGAUGCUGGCGUAAUGGCUUUAAACGACCCGUCU
Molecule: ribosomal RNA, 703 nt
Filed under: Glomeromycotina sp. OTU9 DJMC-2012
Lineage: Eukaryota; Fungi; Glomeromycota
Description: eukaryotic LSU rRNA
Rfam family: Eukaryotic large subunit ribosomal RNA
Source: RNAcentral